CCCGACUGCUAUUUGGGUGAGGAUAAGCCAUGCGAGUCGAAUGGGAUACCUAAAUUUCCCAUGGCGAACUGCUCAGUAACACAUGAUCAACUUAACCUAUUGAGAAAGAUAACCUCGGGAAACUGAGGAUAAUAUUUCAUAGUUGAAUUGGCUUGGAAAAGUUUUUCAACAAAAGGGAUAGGGAAAAUGGUCUCUAUCCGCUAUAGGAUAGGAUCGUGUUCGAUUAUGGUAGUUGGUGAGGUAACGGCUCACCAAGCCGAUAAUCGAUAGGGGCCGUGAGAGCGGGAGCCCCGAGAUGGGUACUGAGACAACGACCCAGGCCUUACGAGGCGCAGCAGGUACGAAACCUCCACAAUACACGAAAGUGUGAUGGGGUUACCCAAAGUGUUCAUUAUUGAACUGUGGUAGGAGAGUAAUGUCCCCUACUAGAAAGGAGAGGGCAAGGCUGGUGCCAGCCGCCGCGGUAAAACCAGCUCUUCAAGUGGUCGGGAUAAUUAUUGGGCUUAAAGUGUCCGUAGCCGGUUUAGUAAGUUCCUGGUAAAAUCGGGUAGCUUAACUAUCUGUAUGCUAGGAAUACUGCUAUACUAGAGGGCGGGAGAGGUCUGAGGUACUACAGGGGUAGGGGUGAAAUCUUAUAAUCCUUGUAGGACCACCAGUGGCGAAGGCGUCAGACUGGAACGCGCCUGACGGUGAGGGACGAAAGCCAGGGGAGCGAACCGGAUUAGAUACCCGGGUAGUCCUGGCCGUAAACGAUGCAUACUAGGUGAUGGUAUGGCUAUGAGCCAUAUCAGUGCCGUAGGGAAACCGUUAAGUGUGCCGCCUGGGAAGUACGGUCGCAAGGCUAAAACU
This 849-nucleotide ribosomal RNA is filed under the name uncultured archaeon. RNAcentral's name for it is "bacterial SSU rRNA". It matches the Rfam family "Archaeal small subunit ribosomal RNA", at positions 21 to 856 of the family's 1478-position model. The record is from RNAcentral.